GGUAGAUAUUCAGUUCCCGUUGGGCCGUAGGGAAGUCAAGUCCUUGAUCCGGGCAAAAGGGCUCGAUCUUUGGCAAAGGGAGUGGGAUGCUAGUAGUAAGGGGAGGCAAUUUUAUUGCAUGCACCGGUCAGUUAAGGAAGAGGUGGGCAGUAUGGGAUGUAGGAGAGAAGAAGUUGUGUGGCGUAGACUACAGUUUGGACAUACAGGUUUGAAUGCCACAUUGUGGAUGAUAAGGAGACAUGAAACAGCUGUUAAACCCCAUCAAAGAAGAUUGGAAAUACUUUGCGACUGACACAUGGGCAAACUGUGAGUAAAAGGUUGCAACCAAUAUGGCUGAAUAUCUACGCCAGGCGACCGAAAGAACAAGAGAAACCGAACCCUUCGCUCUGACUCUCAGGGACAAUCACCUCUACUCCCUGGCCAUUCACCAUCGUGACUGGGAAGACUCUGGAGCAGAAGACAUUAUGUUUUGCUGUUUUACAAGAAUUCAUAUGGAAAAUUGAUACCUGGUAGGGGUUGGGGGGAGUAAAGGGUAAAGUGUUUACUUUUCUUCACCCCCUUUCCUCAGCUUUAAUUGCAAGGGCUACUGUGAUUUUGAAAUGAUGGAUUGUGCUAAAGUUUUUAUUUGUGUGUUCCUUAUUUGUUUAUUUUUUGCAUGACUUUCUUUUGGAGCUGAAAUUAAUAACUCAAAAAACAUAUUUUGUAUUUUAUUUACAAUUUGUCAUGAUUGGCCAUAUGUCAUUUUAAGAAUUUCAUAGACUGUGUCGAAAAUUUGUAACAUUGAUUGUUAUUGUUAGAUAUAUUUUGUACAUUUAGAAAAUUAACAGAUUAUGUAAUAGAGAGAAGGUAGAAAAAUAACCCAGCAAUAAAGUAAGAAAUAACCCACUGCUGGGUCAAAAAUACAUGAAUAAAAAUAACCCAGCAAAAGAGUAAAAAGCAACCUAAUGCUGGGUCAAAGUAAUCACAUUUUGUGGUAAAUCAAUAAACCCAACGUGUUGGGUCAUUCAUGUAACCCAACAGUGCUGUAUUCAAAUAUUUUUUUGUGUGUAAGGAAAGGGGAUGACUAUGACAUUGAACCUCUGUAGAUAAGAUAUACUGUAGGCGUAUGUUAUUUCCAACCUUAAAAGUUUGGGGAAUAUUAAUGUUUACAUAAGGAAGAUGACCUUGGAUUAAAACCUCUACAGGAUUGGUGGGUCCCCCGCGGGACGGUUGAGCUAACGUAGGCUAAUGCGACUAGCAUGAGUUUGUAAGUAACAAGAACAUUUCCCAGGACAUAGACAUAUCUGAUAUUGGCAGAAAGCUUAAAUUCUUGUUAAUGUAACUGCACUGUCCAAUUUACAGUAGCUAUUACAGUGAAAGAAUACCAUGCAAUUGUUUGAGAAGAGUGCACAGUUAUGAACUUGAAAAGUUAUUAUUAAACCAAUUAGGCACAUUUGGGCAGUCUUGAUACAAUAUUUUGAGCAGAAAUACAAUGGUUCAUUGGAUCAGUCUAAAACUUUACACAAACACUGCUUCCAUCUAGUGGCCAAAAUCUAAAUUGCGCCUGGGCUGUAAUAAUACAUUAUGGCCUUUCUCUUGCAUUUCGAAGAUGAUUGUACAAAAAAAACAUGUUUUUUUCCUUUGUAUUAUCUUCUAAAUGAUCUAAUGUGUUAUAUUCUCCUAAAUUCAUUUCACAUUUCUACUAACUUCAAAGUGUUUCCUUUCAAAUGGUUUCAAGAAUAUGCACAUCCUUGUUUCAGGUCCUGAGCUCCAGGCAGUUAAAUUUGGGUAUGGUAUUUUAUGCGAAAAUUGAAAAAAAAAGGGAUGGAUCCUUAAGGUUUUUUAAGCAAAGCAUUAAAGUCAAAACCCACAAUUUGCAAAAACAGAACAAUGUAUUAU
RNAcentral lists this long non-coding RNA (1878 nucleotides) under Salmo salar (Atlantic salmon). RNAcentral's name for it is "lncRNA (ENSSSAG00000107173.1)". Lineage: Eukaryota; Metazoa; Chordata; Actinopteri; Salmoniformes; Salmonidae. The record is from RNAcentral.